GAUGAACGCUGGCGGCGUGCCUAAUACAUGCAAGUCGAGCGAACAGACGAGGAGCUUGCUCCUCUGACGUUAGCGGCGGACGGGUGAGUAACACGUGGAUAACCUACCUAUAAGACUGGGAUAACUUCGGGAAACCGGAGCUAAUACCGGAUAAUAUAUUGAACCGCAUGGUUCAAUAGUGAAAGACGGUUUUGCUGUCACUUAUAGAUGGAUCCGCGCCGCAUUAGCUAGUUGGUAAGGUAACGGCUUACCAAGGCAACGAGGCGUAGCCGACCUGAGAGGGUGAUCGGCCACACUGGAACUGAGACACGGUCCAGACUACUACGGGAGGCAGCAGUAGGGAAUCGUCCGCAAUGGGCGAAAGCCUGACGGAGCAACGCCGCGUGAGAGAUGAAGGUCUUCGGAUCGUAAAACUCUGUUAUUAGGGAAGAACAAAUGUGUAAGUAACUAUGCACGUCUUGACGGUAACUAAUCAGAAAGCAACGGCUAACUACGUG
RNAcentral lists this ribosomal RNA (497 nucleotides) under uncultured bacterium. RNAcentral describes it as "partial 16S ribosomal RNA". It matches the Rfam family "Bacterial small subunit ribosomal RNA", at positions 28 to 507 of the family's 1533-position model. The record is from RNAcentral.